Molecule: unclassified non-coding RNA, 992 nt
Filed under: Hevea brasiliensis (rubber tree)
Lineage: Eukaryota; Viridiplantae; Streptophyta; Magnoliopsida; Malpighiales; Euphorbiaceae
Source: RNAcentral
GUGCAGCCUCUUUCCAUUGAGGAGGAAUAAAAGAGGGUAAGUGGGUGAUUGUGAUCCACAUGUUUGAUGGUGUUGGGCAAGAAAGCACAUCCAACAUGGAGGUUGAAUUGGCAAGUGAGGCAAUGGUAGGUAAAAGCAGUGCCAUAAUCACCACAGGCAUUACAAGUGAACUUGGAGUCAUGGUUAGGUGGGCAGGGAAGAAGGGUGAGCAAGUGCUGAGAGUGAGAAUUGUGUUCAAGCUCACCCGGAAGUUCAAAGCAGGAUUUGUGAAGGAAGAAAUCACAUUUGGAUUUGCUGCACUUGUAAGCUGAGCCUGAAAGGUCUAGCUCACAUCCCGAGCAAAUAAUUUCCUCUUCCUCUUUCACAUCUACCGGACGUAAGGGGUGGGAAUGGCUGGAAUGCUUUAUGCAUGGACGACGGAGCAAUAGAGAAUGCCUGAACGUUGUUGCCAUCUCUCCCCUUUUCUAUCAAGGUUCUGCAUUCAAAUCCAUCUUUUUGCAUGAUUAUAUAUAGAAUUUUUCUAGGUAUUGUCACUCACAAAUCUUUUUGUUAUCUGUAUGGUGGAAACCAGAUGAAGCUAUUAGUUGUUUUCUUUACUUGCAGAUCUCUAGGCCAAGCUGGCAUAUAUAUAAUAAGAUGGCUUAAAGAUUACACAGACUUCACCAGCACUAGUGUUUCAUUUUGUGACCAUCUAGGGUAGGCAAUUUGAAGUUUUCGCACUUGACUUGUGGGUGCUUUAAUAUUUUAAAAACACUGAGUAGCCUUGUUUUAAUUUCUUUGAUUCUACUGCCCUGGAAUUAUGGGUCCACAUCUGGAAACACCAAGUGAAGCUGCUUCUUCAAGUAAAUGAAUGUGAACAUGUGUACUCUGAUCCUUUUCUUGGGAAACUAAAGAUCAACAAGUGAGAGUAAACGAGAAGCAUUAGAAUUUAUAGACUAAAAUUUGUAUUUCUCUGUAACCAAGUUUGUCUUCAAAUGCUGUUUUCUGCUGCG